RNAcentral lists this ribosomal RNA (658 nucleotides) under uncultured bacterium. Its description in RNAcentral is "bacterial SSU rRNA". It matches the Rfam family "Bacterial small subunit ribosomal RNA", at positions 28 to 669 of the family's 1533-position model. The record is from RNAcentral.
GACGAACGCUGGCGGCGUGCCUAAUACAUGCAAGUUGAGCGAUGAAGAUUGGUGCUUGCACCAAUUUGAAGAGCAGCGAACGGGUGAGUAACGCGUGGGGAAUCUGCCUUUGAGCGGGGGACAACAUUUGGAAACGAAUGCUAAUACCGCAUAACAACUUUAAACAUAAGUUUUAAGUUUGAAAGAUGCAAUUGCAUCACUCAAAGAUGAUCCCGCGUUGUAUUAGCUAGUAGGUGAGGUAAUGGCUCACCUAGGCGACGAUACAUAGCCGACCUGAGAGGGUGAUCGGCCACACUGGGACUGAGACACGGCCCAGACUCCUACGGGAGGCAGCAGUAGGGAAUCUUCGGCAAUGGGGGCAACCCUGACCGAGCAACGCCGCGUGAGUGAAGAAGGUUUUCGGAUCGUAAAGCUCUGUUGUAAGUCAAGAACGGGUGUGAGAGUGGAAAGUUCACACUGUGACGGUAGCUUACCAGAAAGGGACGGCUAACUACGUGCCAGCAGCCGCGGUAAUACGUAGGUCCCGAGCGUUGUCCGGAUUUAUUGGGCGUAAAGCGAGCGCAGGCGGUUUGAUAAGUCUGAAGUUAAAGGCUGUGGCUCAACCAUAGUUCGCUUUGGAAACUGUCAAACUUGAGUGCAGAAGGGGAGAGUGGAACUC